RNAcentral lists this ribosomal RNA (790 nucleotides) under uncultured bacterium. Its description in RNAcentral is "bacterial SSU rRNA". It matches the Rfam family "Bacterial small subunit ribosomal RNA", at positions 8 to 796 of the family's 1533-position model. The record is from RNAcentral.
AGAGUUUGAUCCUGGCUCAGAAUGAACGCUGGCGGCGUGCUUUACACAUGCAAGUCGAGCGAGGCCAGGUAGCAAUACCUGAGUCGAGCGGCGCACGGGUGAGUAACACGUGGAUAACCUGCCUGAGGGUGGGGGAUAACCCGGGGAAACUCGGGCUAAUACCGCAUAACACCGAGAGGUCAAAGGGGGCCGCAAGGCUCUCGCCUGCAGAGGGGUCCGCGUCCCAUUAGCUAGUUGGCAGGGUAAGGGCCUACCAAGGCGACGAUGGUUAGCGGGUCUGAGGGGAUGAUCCGCCACACUGGCACUGGAACACGGGCCAGACUCCUACGGGAGGCAGCAGUGAGGAAUUUCGCACAAUGGGGGAAACCCUGAUGCAGCGACGCCGCGUGAGUGACGAAGGUCUUCGGAUCGUAAAGCUCUGUCAGCAGGGAAGAAAUGUGCGAUGGCUAAUAUCCAUAGUACUUGACGGUACCUGCAAAGGAAGCACCGGCUAACUCCGUGCCAGCAGCCGCGGUAAUACGGAGGGUGCGAGCGUUGUUCGGAUUUACUGGGCGUAAAGGGCGCGUAGGCGGCCUAUCAAGUCAUAUGUGAAAGCCCACGGCUCAACCGUGGAAGUGCAUGUGAAACUGGCAGGCUUGAAUACUGGAGGGGAGUGUGGAAUUCCCGGUGUAGAGGUGAAAUUCGUAGAUAUCGGGAGGAAUACCGGUGGCGAAGGCGACACUCUGGACAGAUACUGACGCUGAGGCGCGAAAGCGUGGGGAGCAAACAGGAUUAGAUACCCUGGUAGUCC